CAGACUCUUCAUAUUCAUCUUCCAAUACACAGUCUCUUUCUCAUCUUCCCUAGGUAUUAAGUACACUGCUCAAUACACACUAGGCAGUCUCUUUCUCAUCUGUUCCUCUCUCUCCAUCUCUCAUUUUACCUAGAUUCCAAUUGUUAAGAGCCCUCUCUCUCUCAUGGGUAUGAUUCGCAAAAAACUUUGAUACGGCCGAGAAACGUGACGAAACUGAUGCAAAGAAGGAAGAUGAUUCAGUGAAGCGGGCGAGAAGCUGCGACCACCGUGUGAAGGAUUUUUCGCCAUCUCUAUGAAUCAGCCUCCCCAUCGGCGGAGUAACUUCCUCAAUAGCUGGAAAGUUCGCUUUCUUCCCACCACAACCACCAUCCUACACACUCACAGUAUCUGAAUCCACCACCGCCGCCGCAAACGGUCCUUCACCGCGACAAAGCUUUUGAAUCCCUUACGAAGCUAAGUGAUACUUUGACUACUCUAUAACAUACUUCUAUAAUUUUGUUUAUUGUAGGUCCUUGCCUACAUUGGGUUUUCUCAGCUCCAAUUGGAUAGCGGAACAACCGUUCUAGGAUGGUUGACGAAUGCGGGAAUUUGUAGUUCUAUCUGUCAAACGGACCACUGAAGACAUUGAUGUGAUUAAGCGGUUUAUGGUUCUUCAUGACAUUAAGACAAGUAACGAGGAAGAGGAUGCAGAGUAUAAUCAGGACCUUGCUGGGCAAUAUGGUAGGAAGGAUCCGCCAAGAUGAUUGACACAAAUACUUAUAUAAUGUUUAUGUGGUUUUAUUGCUAAGAAUGUUGAAGCUAUGUAUUUUGACAUAAACACUUCAAGAAUGGUGGAUGCAUUUGUUGCUGUAGAAUCUCUUUUGUUUUAACAGGUUGUAUAUCACUGUUUUUAGAAUUUGUUUAGUUGAAACCUACCAAUGUGACUCUUUUUCUUUUGUUUGUUUUGGUUUUUGGAUAGUAAAAUUAAAGGAUGUUUGCAGGAGCUGUCUGAAUCAGGAAGCAAUUUAUUCAAAGCUGAUAGGGGAUGAAAGGAUUACAUUUGGUCUUAUUCUAGGUUUUCACUAUAAAAUUGGGGAUAAUCUUGAUUCUGGUAUUCCGAUUUGAUUUGUGUCUGAUAGAGUGACCGUAUACAAAUUUGGACGAGAUGUAUGAAGUAGUAGUCAAACCUGUACUGGAAUCAGCCAUUGAAUGGGUUUCAAAAUUGUAGAAAUUGAAUGUGAUAUUUUUAGUUGUUUGAAAUUUAGUAUCAACUAUGAGUCAUUCAGUUUGAUGAAAUCUACUUUGCAUUUUAAUUGUUCUAUAAAAAGAUCACAAGAACUUACUUGAGGCAAGUCUCAUUCUUA
This is a long non-coding RNA of Medicago truncatula (barrel medic), 1343 nucleotides long. RefSeq lists it as uncharacterized. The transcript is spliced from 2 exons. Lineage: Eukaryota; Viridiplantae; Streptophyta; Magnoliopsida; Fabales; Fabaceae. The record is from RefSeq and is a predicted model, not a curated record.